AGCUAGAAAAAGAGCUAUGUUGGCCAGGAGCUAGAAACAGAACUAGGUUGGCUAGUUGUCCAGGAGCUAGAAACAAAACUAGGUUGGCUAGUUUGCUAGGAGCUUGAAACAGAACUAGGUUGGCCAGGAGCUAGAAACAGAACUAGGUUGGCUACUUGUCCAGGAGCUAAAAACAGAACUAGGUUGGCUAGUUGGCCAGGAGAUAGAAACAGAACUAGGUUGGCUAGGAGCUAGAAACAGAACUAGGUUGGCUAGGGGCUAGAAACAUAACUAGGUUGGCUAGGGGCUAGAAACAUAACUUGGUUGGCUAGGGGCUAGAAACAGAACUAGGUUGGCUAGUUG
This 342-nucleotide long non-coding RNA is filed under the name Salmo salar (Atlantic salmon). Its description in RNAcentral is "lncRNA (ENSSSAG00000102584.1)". Lineage: Eukaryota; Metazoa; Chordata; Actinopteri; Salmoniformes; Salmonidae. The record is from RNAcentral.